This 189-nucleotide ribosomal RNA is filed under the name uncultured bacterium. RNAcentral describes it as "partial 16S ribosomal RNA". The record is from RNAcentral.
AUUACCGCGGCUGCUGGCACGGAGUUAGCCGGUGCUUAUUCCUAGGGUACCGUCAAGUGCUUAAAAAUGAGCUUUUUUCGUCCCCUAUAAAAGAAGUUUACAACCCAGAGGGCCUUCAUCCUUCACGCGGCAUGGCUGGUUCAGACUUUCGUCCAUUGACCAAUAUUCCUUACUGCUGCCUCCCGUAGG